CAAGUUCAGCAGGCGGAUCACAACCAAGAACCGGAUGCAAGCAAAAACCUGUCCUAUCGAGCACUGCAGUUGCUGGAGAGAUAUGGCCUUCAGGUGGUUUCUCAUCUCCCUCUGGCUGACGCUGUCCAUCUCAGAUCAUGAGAUUUCCAUUCGGAAAGUUGAAAAAGGAUCCAUAGCUUGGUUAACUGAUGAUAUCGUAAAUGCAACAGACAUUACUAAGGUUGUGUGGAGAAUCCCAUCAGGCCCAACCAAGAUAGCGGAAUGCGUGAAUGGGAAAUUGACAUAUCCCAAUACUGAAAAGUAUAAUCAACGAAUAGCUGUUCAUCCUGCAGACUGUAGUUUACAAAUCCAUGAUGUACAGAAAGAGGACGAGCAUGUUUAUGAGGUGACUGUUACGCAAAGUUCAGGAAAACAGACUGUGAAGAAAUUGCAACUGAAGGUAUUUGAUCCAGCUCUCAGAUCUUCAUGCAAUGGUCAGAAGAUUGCCACUGUGAUCCUCCCCAUGAUCCUUGCCGUGAUCGUCAUUGUGGUCAUUCUGUGACAGGCCAAGUGGAGAGCCAUCCUUUGGAAGAUCAAAAGAAGGAGCCUGCAACUAAUGCAUUGGAAUAGAACCCAGCUCACAGAUAUUUCCGCCAUCAGGACAGCAAGUACCUCUCCAAACCCAAUCACUGCGAAAUGAUGCCCACUCCCUCCUGGUCCCACAAGCACAGAAGUUGUGUGUAGGGGUCCGCCCCUCUACUGGAACCCCUGCCUUUGUUCAACAAUUCCAAAUUGCGUUAUAUACUCUGGGUUCUGCAGCGACUGAUGGUAACCACACUCCCGGAUCUGGGAUCCUCUCUACUGCACACAGUCUUGUGUCCACUACUCAUCUGCCUGUCUGUCCCUCAUUUUCUCCCUGCUGCUCAGAUCUAACACCGGCCACCUUUCCUCCUGAUUCUAGUCCUGAGAAUCUACAACUUUCUUGUCCUCUCUCAGUAUUCUCUCCUGUGUCCCCACCCGAAAUCCUGUGCCUACAUCAUUCCCCAGCAUCGCUACACAUCCCCAUGUAAUCCCCACACUCUGUCAUCACUGAAUGCUCUUUUCAUGUUCUCACCUUUUUUCUUUUCCUCUAUCCUACCUGGGUAAAGUCCACAAGACAUUGGUGCAGAAUGAGGCUAUUCAGCCCAUCGAGUCAGCUCCAUUAUUUGAUCAAGGCUGGUCUAUUUCUCUCUCAGUCACAUUCUUCUGCCUUCUCCACCUAAUCUUCCAUGCCCUGACAUAUCAAGACUCCAUCAACAUUAGCUUUAAAUAUACUCAGCGAUCUGGCCUCCAAAGCCACCAAAGUAAUACAUUCCACAGAUGCAACAACCUCUGGCUAAAGAAAUUCCUCCUCAUCUCCAUUUCAAAUAGACAUCUCUCUAUUCUGACAUUGUGACCUCUAAUCCUAUACUGUCCAACAAUCAGAAACAUCCUCUCCACAUCCAGUCUAUCUAGUACUUUCAACAUUCAAUAGGUUAAAAUGAGGUACUCCCUCAUUCUUCUAAAUUUCAGUGAGUACUGGUCCAGAGGUAUCCAACGUUGCUCAUGUGAUAAGACUCUCAAGUCCAAAAACAUUUUCUGAACCCCCUCUGAACCCUCUCCAAUGUCAGCACACCUUUUCAUAGAAAAGUGCCUCAAACUGUUGACGAUACUGCAAAUGAUGCAUCACCAGCCUCAGCUUUACACCCUUGUUUUUAUAUUCUAGUUCUCUCAAAAUCAAUGUUAACAUUGCAUCUGCCUUCCUCACCACAAACUUAAACUGCAAGUUAACCUUUAGAGAAUCCUGCACAAGGAAUCACAUUUCCCUAAGGUUUUGUCCUGAAACAUCAACUGUACUCUUUUCCAUAAAUGAGUUCCUUUGAUCUCCAGCAUUUGCAGAGUUACUCGUGUUUGUGGUUGUAUUCCCUUUGCACUUUGGAUUUAUGAAUUUUCUACCCAUUUAGAAAAUAGUCUACUGUUUCAUUCCUCCUCCCAAAGUGGAAUUUAGUUCCUGACACGAUGUUACAUCUGACAUUUCUUUGCCAAAUCUCCUCAUCUGUCCAAGUCUUUCUGCAGUGUCUCUGCCUCUGUAAUACUAUCUGCCCCUUUAGCUAUCUUCAUAUCAUCCACGAACUUGUGUACAAAGCCAUCAACUCCAUCACCCAAAUCAUUGAUACACAACGUGAAAAGAAUAAGUCCCAACGCCGAACCCUGUGGAACACAACUUGUCAGCAGCAGCAAAUCAAAAAUGUUCCCUGUAUUCCUGCUUUAUGUCUCCUUCUAAUUAUCCAAUGAUCUUCCAAUCCUAUGUCACCGCUUACCAAGGAUAUGAUUUAUUUUUUAUCAAUAGGGCCAUGCUACACCGUCUGCCUACCUGCCUGUCAUUUCAAUACAAUGUGUAUCCAUGGAUAUUAAGCUCUCAACAAUAAUUUUCUUUCCCAUGACUCAGUGAUGCCCACAACAUCAUACCUGUCAAUCUCUGACUGACCGUCUAACAAGACCGUCUAUCUUAUUUUGCAUGCAGAGUGCAUUCAAAUAUAACACCUUCAGUUAGCUGUUUCCCCUUCGAUAAACUUGUCAGCCCCAGCUGAUCAGUCACACUGAGCUUCACAAUGUACUGCGGCCCCCACACUGUAACUUCCUGUUCCCCAUCCCACAAUCCCUCCCGGGACAUCCCUCGUAAUUCUCAUUGCCAUCCUGAAGGAAAGUCCCAGAUGCUGGAGCUGAGGGUGGAACCUGUGCAAAACCCAGGAUGUCGGAUGUAGUGAAGGGUCCUGUGAAGCCUUUCUCAAGAUUCUGGGGCUGUGGAUGGCCACACACUGCAAGUGGUUUAUUGUUAAUAUUGUGCGCUCCCUGCCCACAUGAACUGGUGAAGGUUUCACCAGUGAAAUCACGCUCAGUCUUUCAGCCAGAGAACCUGGUGAUGGGGUAUCGGGCAAAGGGCACAUUUUUAAGCUGUGCAUUGUCGGAUUUAAUGGCUUGGACAGCGUCCAUGGCGAGUUAAUGUUUCAGCUCACACAUGUCUCUCUCCACAGCUGCUGCCUGACCUGCCUCGGGCUUCCAGCAUUUCCUGAUUUUGCUAGAGAUCUCCAGCUUAUAGAAUUGUUUUAUAUUUACUCCUUUAGAUUGUGUACUUUAUAAUAAAUUCUUAUACAGUUUUUACCCAAAACCGUCCUGUUCUUGGACUGCAGCAGGUUUACUAAGACAAGUCAGCUCGUGGGGUGCUGUGGUCUGAAUGGACAGCCCAUGGACCAGCACUCUAGGAUUGGCCGAAGUGGUUGUGGUACAAUCUUAUUGGACACCAUUAUUACCGCACACCUGAUUGUCCGUCACUUGGCUGCCGCGUUUACUAAUUGGCUGCUGGAAUACCUCACUUCCUGAUUGGAUCAGCUGGUAGUAGCGCAACAUGCCACUGACCAGACGGAUUGGUUCGCUGAUGUGACGGUGACCGCAUGCGACACGAAGAGCUGACGCCGACUCUUCGGUUUACCGUGUUCGCUGGUUCAAGGGUCCGAGGAAGGCAGGUGUAUUGGCGGGAUACACUUCCUCUGGUCUGUGGAUGCACCCAUUCCUCUCACACCGGCCUUCCCCACAAUCCCUCCACCCCGUCUGUUGGAUUCUUCAUCUGUCAAAGGAGAUCAGUAUGACGAGAUCCUAAGGCUUAUUCAUUAUGGACUGUGCCUUUAAAAAUAAAGCGCCGCUGAUUCAGAGAGAGAGAAGCACAGAGCAGCUCGUGAGUUGAUAUGAUGAUGGAAGGGCGGAGCUAUAUAAUGGACAGCUGGUCUUCAGCAUGGUUGAAUAUAUAAACAAGGUCAUCUGGUUUUCAGGCAGACACCCGGAAGACACACAGAGAUACAGAAGAAAUAGACACUGAGUGCCCAUGACAGGGUGGGUUUUGCUCACAGUGUGGAAAAAGGGUGACCGGUGGAAAGCUAUUGGUGUGUUUAACCCUUGCCUGGGUUGAUAGCUUUACCACGUGAAGAUGGUACCCUUAGCGAGGUCACAGUCAGUGACCUUAAAAGGUUUUCAGAGGACAACGGGAAGAUCAACAGCAUCGGCUUACUUGGAUAACAAAUCACCUCUUUCUCUCUCCUCAAUUCUACUCAACUCAACAUCACGAACUGAACUGACUUCGUUUAUAUACCAUCGUAAGACUGUAUCAUUUGCCACCUAAGCUUGAAGAAGAUUGGAGUUUUAUAUUUUCACACUUAUAUAUGCACGAACUCUGCUGACCUGUUUGAUUUAUCUGGUUUUAUAUUACUAUA
Molecule: long non-coding RNA, 4262 nt
Organism: Hypanus sabinus (Atlantic stingray)
Lineage: Eukaryota; Metazoa; Chordata; Chondrichthyes; Myliobatiformes; Dasyatidae
Exons: 5
Source: RefSeq, a predicted model, not a curated record